Long non-coding RNA from Oryctolagus cuniculus (rabbit), 2064 nucleotides. NCBI's taxonomy places the organism in Eukaryota, Metazoa, Chordata, Mammalia, Lagomorpha, Leporidae. The record is from Ensembl.
CUUUUGGGCUGUUUCUCUAUCUUGGAUAAUAUGAAUAACGACGCAGUGUUUAUAGUGUGCUGGUAUCUUUUCAUGAUUUAACUUCUUUUGAAUAUAUGAUAUUGCAAAUAAAUAAAUAAGGAAUAAAGUUUACCAGAUAGUGAAAUAAUUGUAUAUGGAACAUUGUGGAACAUAGAUGAAAUAACUUAAAGCAAAUACAGAUGAAUGGAAAGACAUCCCAUGUUAGUGGAUCAGAAUGAUCCAUGUUGUCACAUUAUUCACACUGGAAGAGCAGAGUCCCUGAGCCUCAGCCAGGUCUGCUCUGGGUUCGCGCUGCCUUUUCCACACUCUCCCAGCGUCCAACACAGUCUUGAAAGCUCAGACGGAGAUCACUUCUGUCAGAGAAGGGUGAUGUGCUACCAGCCCUGCUUGGUGCACUGCACCAGCAUGCUUGAAAUGGAAAUAAAUCUGAUUCCUCUUGGGACAGAAACAAGCCCUUUAAAUGUAUACUGGGUAAACACGAGAUGAUUUGAGGCUAAGAAGGUGCGGUUGUUCAGAUGAUUGGAGGUCAGACAGCCAACCUGCCCAUCUCCCCAGACUAUGCCUAUGGUGCCCCCGGUACCCAGGCAUCAUCCCGCCACAUGCCACUCUCCACUUUGCUGUGGAGCUUCUAAUGCAGGACUGACUGGGACGGCCUCCUUCCGUUUGCUCCCUGUUCUUGGAUCUGCCAUGAAGUGGUCUGACGCUGCAGAGUCAUGCACAAGAAUCCAAAGAGAGCUUUGCCUGAGGAUCCACUGCACUCUCUGCACAAGCAUCUGCUCAACUGAAUGUGCUCGGCAACUACUUCAGAGGUGGAGAUGGGGUUUCAGGAGUGAAGCUGAAAGAGAAGAGGAACACCUGGAAGAGGCCACACUGGAACCAAGGAAGAACUCCUUUCACAAAUCAUGUUUGACAAGAAAUUUAAAGGAUGACAUUGUAUGGGCCAAAUGCACUGUGCAAGGAAUAGAGAGGACCAGCAAAGAAGAAGGAAUGGCACAUCAUAGAGUAGUAUAUGUCUACUGAAUUAUUGAAUUUUCUUCCAUUCAAUCUCCCACCUGUAUUUCUGAGAACUCUUCUGUGUAAGAAACAUCUGAUAUUAAAGGUUUAGAUAUGCCACUACACUCAGAGAUCAUAGUCUAAUUUCAUCACACAGUACCAAAUGAUAGAUGCAACUCAGAAAUGAGAUCAUCUUUCACGACAGAUAUUUGGCACUAUUUAGCAGUGAGACAGCAAACAUCCUGCAAGCAAUUCAGUAUUUGAUUGUCUCACUGUAGCUACAAAAAAUUAUUAGAGAAAGCUCUGAAAAAUCCAAAAUGAACUAAACUACCUAAACAAGAAAACAAUAUUCUACUAGUUGGAACUCCCAAAAGGUUUAUUUGCCCUCAGAAAGAGGAAGAUGGAUAAGCCUUCUGAUUUUUAUCCAGGCACCUGUUCAUUCCAUUCACCAAGCUGCUUAAUCAUGUGCUGCUGCCAAAGCAGUGACAGGCCAUAUUUCCUAAUAUGAUUUAAUAGAUAAAAUUACAAAAUAGUAAAAGUGAUUUAUUUGACAUAGCAACUGCAACACAGGACAUUCUCAGCUAUUCUCUUCUGUUAUUUUGGGUAGAAAUGAUCCUCUGAAAAAGAGGGUUUUUUUUUUUAAUUUGUAAAUACUGUCAAAUCUUGAUUUGACACACUAAAAUCUAGUAUGGAAGAAGAGUUUUCUUUUCAAUAUUUGCAUGCAUUUCCUAUAUCGAAGAACACACUUCUACUUAGUCAUUUCCUAUUAGAUAUUUAAAGUUGUUUAUUAUCUCUGUGCAAGCAAAAACCACCCUUUAGAGUGCUUGAGACAAAUCAGAGUGACCUGGUAAGAAUCACAGCACAGAUAUCAUUUCAUAUGUAUCGCUUCCUGACUUAGCUGCUAUUGGAUGCAGAGUUCCACUCAGUGAAUAUGAGUGCCUGAAUAAGUGUUGAAAUUACUUAGCAGAGGGCUUAGCUAUCAUUACUUUGGGCUUAUAUUUUUGUUUUAUUCGGAUGAUAAUAUUCCAAUAAAUUAAAGCAAAAUCUACA